Molecule: ribosomal RNA, 463 nt
Filed under: uncultured bacterium
Lineage: Bacteria
Description: partial 16S ribosomal RNA
Rfam family: Bacterial small subunit ribosomal RNA
Source: RNAcentral
GACGAACGCUGGCGGCGUGCUUAACACGUGCAAGUCGAACGGAAAGGCCUUUUCGGAGGUACUCGAGUGGCGAACGGGUGAGUAACACGUGGGUGAUCUGCCCUGCACUCUGGGAUAAGCCUGGGAAACUGGGUCUAAUACCGGAUAGGACCGCACUUUAGUGUGUGUGGUGGAAAGUUUUUUCGGUGUAGGAUGAGCCCGCGGCCUAUCAGCUUGUUGGUGGGGUAAUGGCCUACCAAGGCGGCGACGGGUAGCCGGACUGAGAGGUUGGUCGGCCACAUUGGGACUGAGAUACGGCCCAGACUCCUACGGGAGGCAGCAGUGGGGAAUAUUGCACAAUGGGCGCAAGCCUGAUGCAGCGACGCCGCGGGGGGGAUGACGGCCUUCGGGUUGUAAACUCCUUUCGCCAGGGACGAAGCGUUUUGUGACGGUACCUGGAGAAGAAGCACCGGCUAACUACGUG